GGCCAGUUGAGUGCUUGCGUGGCUGUGAAGCACCAGUGCUGCAAAGAUGGGAAAAGACAAAGUGAUGUGACUUCUGGGGAAGGCACCUUAAAAUAGAAAGAAAAAGAAAGGUGGGAUUGUUGGAAUUUUUUUUUCUAUUGAGAAGCAUGAUCCUGUCUGCUAAGACUCUCCUCUUGAAAUCCUGUCUGGAUUUCAGGUUAUGCCAAGCCCAGGAAGGAUGAAGGAAAAAUUGCUCCCUAGUUAAAGCCAUUUCUACUGAAAAUUCUCUGCAUGGAGAAAGGGCUUGAGAAAGUGGACUCAUCCCAAGAAGGAUUUGAAGAGGCCAAGUAUUCAAAGCAGCAGCAUGCAAACUCCAGGAGGGCCUUCAGAGGUGUAAGUGGUAGGUGGUUGGAAGUGAAAAAUAGAUGUGACUUUAGGAAAGGAUCAUGAUAGAACUGGAAGAAUUCCAUUGAAGAACUCAGACGGAGACAGUGUAAAUCACGUGAACCUGAAGCGAACCAAAAAUCAUGAGAAGAUGCUUGUUUAAUACACAAGGAACUCUAAAAACAAUGAGGAAAAAGCAACAGUCUUACUAACAUAUGUGUCUUAAUUUACUCAUAUCUGUGCAGACUUCAUUCUGCUUUUAAUAAUAAUGCAUCACAGGCCUUUUAUAGUCUGUUUCAAACUCCUGUCUAACAUGAUGAAAAUCUUAAAUAUGAUCCUUUUAAGGAUGGAAGAUGUAUCACAUAGAAUGGAGGAGGACUGCGGUACAAAAAUGAAUGGCCACCUAGCACAUCUGCAGCAGCAGUCAUCAGCAGAUGUUUAGGGGAGAAUAGAAAACUGAGGAUGUGUGACAUGAUUAAUUUCCUUGUUUAGCCUCUUGUUUUGAGUAUUCAGCUUUUCAGUGACUUCCUGAACUGGAAGUUCAAUAUGGUCGGUCAUGUCCUACUGAUACAGCUUUCUGGCAUGAGUUUGUUCAGUGUCUUUUGAACCUGUUUGAGUACUAUUCUCAUCACUGACCCAUGGCAGUUAUUAUACGAUGCCUAAUAAAACACAGAGCUUUUUUCCCCCCAAAAUGCUAAUGACUUUUUUGCACCCUGUUGUUUGUUUAACAGUUAGUGACUAAUGUUUAUCUGGUCUCUCUGCUUCCAUUUAGUAAUUUAGAACUUCUCCCAUGUCUCACCUCAAUUAUGUAUUUUCCGUGUGAAGGGCUCCUGGUCCAUGCUGCUCGUGAGGUGGAACAGCACACACUUUUGAUCAUCAUUGCUGCUCUCUGAGCAUACUCUGUUUCUUCUAUAUGCUCAGAUUGGUGGGGGUCAGACUCACAUGCUGUAGUCAAGCUUUCAGUAAUACUUUUUAAGCCCUUGGUGUACCUGGGGAUGCUAGUAGUGGUCUGAUGGUUAAGAUGGCAGAACCUGGAGGAGGUAUUACAACUGCUUAGAUAGUAUGUCUAGAAAUCUGGAGGCGGCACUCAACAGUUUCUCAGGUUGGAAACAAAAUCAAGGGAAGGGAAGAAUUUCUCAGAGACUCUAGACCUCCAUGAUCUGAAUCACAGAAUCACAGAAUGGACCCUUUGGUUCAUCUGGUCCAAUCCCUGCUCCAGCAGGACCACCCAGACCAGGCUGCCCAAGCCCACAUCCAAGUGGCUUUUGAAGAUUUUCACAGCCUCUCUGGGCCACCUGUGUCAGUGCUCAGUCAUCUACACCGUAAAUUUUGACAAAGUCCAAAUAACAUAAAAGGGAGCCAUGCAAGGAUUUGUCUCUCUGGGGGUCCUACGUGGAGCAGAAUGAAGAUGAAAGUUGUGUCUUUUUCAGAUCUGUACAUGUGGUUCUGGAAUACACACAGUGUUUGAUGUGGAUGGGGUUGAAGGUCUCAGCUCCUGUUCCUCAUUUCUCUAAAUCUGUGCCUAAGGGUAGCUGCUAAAGAAAGAGUCAGAUCACAAUCUAAAUCUCUUGUGUCUUUUCAUUAUUUUUUUUCCAUUCCAUCUAGAGAUGUGAAGUGUAUUAAUUUUGAUUGAAACCCCAAUAAGACAUAGAAAAAGAAAAAAGCAUCUUGAUAUCUUCCUGGCACUAUAUGCCAGCACUAAACAGCUUGCUACAUGGUGUCAUGAUAUGGAAUACUGAUAAAUCCAGGAGACUUCCUUUAUCUCUAAUCCCAAGUUAUGUUCCCAGGAAUGAACAGAUAAAAUUAACAUCUUUUGAACUCAGAGAUAUUGAUGGUUUCUUCAAGAAAGUAAGUGUCCAUGUGAGAUGAAGAUGGAAAUCACCUAAUGAAAACAGUAAUACACAUAAUUGAUAUUUCCAAAUUCAACCUUCUGGUGACUGUGAAAAGGAUUGUAAGAGAUAAACUAUAAAUAAAAUAUGAAGAUAAAACUUUUCAAA
Gallus gallus (chicken) is the source of this 2360-nucleotide long non-coding RNA. RefSeq lists it as uncharacterized. The transcript has 3 exons. Lineage: Eukaryota; Metazoa; Chordata; Aves; Galliformes; Phasianidae. The record is from RefSeq and is a predicted model, not a curated record.